AUUGAACGCUGGCGGCAUGCUUUACACAUGCAAGUCGAACGGCAGCGCGGGCUUCGGCCUGGCGGCGAGUGGCGAACGGGUGAGUAAUGCAUCGGAACGUGCCCAGUAGUGGGGGAUAGCCCGGCGAAAGCCGGAUUAAUACCGCAUACGACCUGAGGGUGAAAGCGGGGGACCGAAAGGCCUCGCGCUAUUGGAGCGGCCGAUGUCGGAUUAGCUAGUUGGUGGGGUAAAGGCUUACCAAGGCGACGAUCCGUAGCUGGUCUGAGAGGACGACCAGCCACAGGGGGAUGGGGCCAGGCCCAAGACCCAGAGGGGAGGCGGCAGGGGGGAUUUUGGGACAAGGGGGGCAACCUUGCCCCAGCCAGGCGGCGGGGGGAAAAAGGGCCUGGGGGUGGAAAACGGUUUUUGUGGGGGAAGAACCCCUUGGGCCUAAACCCCGGGGGGGAGGAGGGUACGGGAAAAAAAAGCACCGGCAAACUAGGUG
RNAcentral lists this ribosomal RNA (484 nucleotides) under uncultured bacterium. RNAcentral describes it as "partial 16S ribosomal RNA". It matches the Rfam family "Bacterial small subunit ribosomal RNA", at positions 29 to 507 of the family's 1533-position model. The record is from RNAcentral.